GACGAACGCUGGCGGCGUGCUUAACACAUGCGAGUCGAACGGAAAGGCCCUGCUUUUGUGGGGUGCUCAAGUGGCGAACGGGUGAGUAACACGUGAGUAACCUGCCCUUGACUUUGGGAUAACUUCAGGAAACUGGGGCUAAUACCGGAUAGGAGCUCCUGCUGCAUGGUGGGGGUUGGAAAGUUUCGGCGGUUGGGGAUGGACUCGCGGCUUAUCAGCUUGUUGGUGGGGUAGUGGCUUACCAAGGCUUUGACGGGUAGCCGGCCUAAGAGGGUGACCGGCCACAUUGGGACUGAGAUACGGCCCAGACUCCUACGGGAGGCAGCAGUGGGGAAUAUUGCACAAUGGGCGGAAGCCUGAUGCAGCAACGCCGCGUGCGGGAUGACGGCCUUCGGGUUGUAAACCGCUUUCGCCUGUGACGAAGCGUGAGUGACGGUAAUGGGUAAAGAAGCACCGGCUAACUACGUG
This 468-nucleotide ribosomal RNA is filed under the name uncultured bacterium. RNAcentral describes it as "partial 16S ribosomal RNA". It matches the Rfam family "Bacterial small subunit ribosomal RNA", at positions 28 to 507 of the family's 1533-position model. The record is from RNAcentral.